Molecule: ribosomal RNA, 497 nt
Filed under: uncultured bacterium
Lineage: Bacteria
Description: partial 16S ribosomal RNA
Rfam family: Bacterial small subunit ribosomal RNA
Source: RNAcentral
GAUGAACGCUGGCGGCGUGCCUAAUACAUGCCAGUCGAGCGAACAGACGAGGAGCUUGCUCCUCUGACGUUAGCGGCGGACGGGUGAGUAACACGUGGAUAACCUACCUAUAAGACUGGGAUAACUUCGGGAAACCGGAGCUAAUACCGGAUAAUAUAUUGAACCGCAUGGUUCAAUAGUGAAAGACGGUUUUGCUGUCACUUAUAGAUGGAUCCGCGCCGCAUUAGCUAGUUGGUAAGGUAACGGCUUACCAAGGCGACGAUGCGUAGCCGACCUGAGAGGGUGGUCGGCCACACUGGAACUGAGACACGGUCCAGACUCCGACGGGAGGCAGCAGUAGGGAAUCUUCCGCAAUGGGCGAAAGCCUGACGGAGCAACGCCGCGUGAGUGAUGAAGGUCUUCGGAUCGUAAAACUCUGUUAUUAGGGAAGAACAAAUGUGUAAGUAACUAUGCACGUCUUGACGGUACCUAAUCAGAAAGCCACGGCUAACUACGUG